RNAcentral lists this ribosomal RNA (347 nucleotides) under uncultured bacterium. RNAcentral describes it as "bacterial SSU rRNA". It matches the Rfam family "Bacterial small subunit ribosomal RNA", at positions 8 to 334 of the family's 1533-position model. The record is from RNAcentral.
AGGGUUCGAUUCUGGCUCAGGACGAACGCUGGCGGCGCGCCUAACACAUGCAAGUCGAACGGAGUUAUUUUGGUUGAAGUUUUCGGAUGGAUACCGAUUUAACUUAGUGGCGAACGGGUGAGUAACGCGUGAGUAACCUGCCCUGGAGUGGGGGACAACAGUCGGAAACGACUGCUAAUACCGCAUAAGCCCACGGCCUGGCAUCGGGCUGAGGGAAAAGGAUUUAUUCGCUUCAGGAUGGACUCGCGUCCAAUUAGCUAGUUGGUGAGGUAACGGCCCACCAAGGCGACGAUUGGUAGCCGGACUGAGAGGUUGAACGGCCACAUUGGGGCUGAGACACGGCCCAG